Mustela erminea (ermine) is the source of this 2666-nucleotide RNA transcript. It is a transcript of the gene named nuclear RNA export factor 1, with no coding region annotated. The record is from RefSeq and is a predicted model, not a curated record. Lineage: Eukaryota; Metazoa; Chordata; Mammalia; Carnivora; Mustelidae. The transcript is spliced from 11 exons.
UAAAUGCUGUGGCGCCGGGCGUAGGAGCGCUUCGGCCGGGGCGCUUGUGGGUGUUCGGUCGUUUGGCGGCGUUGUGGUCCGCGCCUGAGCCGGCCCUGCUUUCUCACUGUGCCAUGGCGGACGAGGGGAAGUCCUACAACGAGCACGAUGACCGCGUUAGUUUCCCUCAAAGAAGAAAGAAAGGCCGGGGUCCUUUCCGGUGGAAGUAUGGUGAAGGGAACCGUAGGUCUGGAAGAGGAGGGUCUGGCAUUCGAUCUUCCCGCCUGGAGGAAGAUGACAGAGAUGUGGCAAUGAGUGAUGCCCAAGAUGUUCCCCGAAUACGACACAACCCCUAUCCUUCCCGACCCAACCGUCGAGGUGACAGUUGGCAUGAUCGAGAUCGCAUUCAUGUUACUGUGCGGAGAGACAGAACUCUUCCAGAGAGAGGAGGAGCUGGCACCAGCCAGGAUGGGACCUCAAGAAACUGGUUUAAGAUUACAAUUCCCUAUGGCAGAAAGUACGACAAGUCGUGGCUCCUGAACGUGAUUCAGAGCAAGUGCAAUGUCCCUUUCACCCCCAUUGAGUUUCACUAUGAAAACACACGGGCCCAGUUUUUUGUUGAAGAUGCCAGUACUGCCUCUGCGUUGAAGGCCGUCAACUAUAAGAUUUUGGAUCAGGAAAACAGAAGGAUAUCGAUCAUCAUCAACUCCUCUGCCCCUCCCCAUUCGGUACAGAAUGAACUGAAGCCAGAACAGGUCGAGCAGCUAAAGCUAAUCAUGAGCAAACGAUAUGAUGGCUCCCUGCAAGCGCUUGACCUCAAGGGGCUCCGUUCAGACCCAGACUUGGUGGCCCAGAACAUCGAUGUUGUCCUGAACCGCAGGAACUGCAUGGCGGCUACGCUGCGAAUCAUUGAGGAGAACAUCCCUGAGCUUUUGUCCUUGAACUUGAGCAACAACAGGCUCUACAGGCUGGAUGACAUGUCCAGCCUUGUGCAGAAAGCACCCAGCCUGAAGAUCCUCAACCUCUCCGGGAAUGAGUUGAAGUCUGAGAGGGAGUUGGACAAGAUAAAAGGGCUAAAGCUGGAAGAGCUGUGGCUCGACGGAAACCCACUGUGUGACACCUUCCGAGACCAGUCUACCUACAUCAGGUCAGUUGUAGCCUCUGUCUCCCCUCCUGGGGACCUUCACCCCCCGGGAGGCUGAGCUAAUGCACCCUGACCAGUGCCCGUCUGCAGGAGAUGUGCAGCCCUGAGCUGAACCACGUGUCCUUUGGGAGGAUCACGUGCUCCUCCCUUCGUCUGUCCGUGUGUCCCAGCUUGGCCCCGAGGUCUCCUUCCCUUCCUUCUCCCCUAACUACCUGUUUGCUGUUCUGUGGUCUUUCCUCUUCCCGAACACAGCCUUUUCUAGAGUCUCCCCACCCUGCUGUUCCAGGAAGGGCAUCUCCCGCUUUCUACUGUGACCCGGGGGUGUCUUGCGUACGUGUCCCGUACGUGGAGCUGCCUUGUGCCAAGAGCCUGGUAUCCCUGGGCCGAGAAUGGCCUCCCUCCGGGGACUUCCCAUGGAUGGGCCUUCCCCUCUUUGUCUGGUGCUGGGCCCUCUUGUCAUUCUGCCAAGAGGGACUCUUCUCAUGGUCCACAUGCCCAAGGCGGUUGCUUGGGCUUUCCCCCUCGUGCUGAGGUUGAGGCCUCCUUGGAGCUGGUGCCAUGCACUCCGUCUCUCUUGCCCAGAGCUGUGAGCCGGGCCCUCCCUGGAGAAGAAACCUGGGUUCCCCAAGCCAUGUGACCAGAGCCAGGGCCCCGCCAGCAGGCGAGGGAAGCCCAAGGCAAGCGCUGGGCGUGGAGGCCACGGGGGCAUAGGCUACCGAGGAGACAGAGCACUGACCCUCUCGGGGGGCGCUGCCCCGCCCUCACUCGCACACCUCACGUCACCCUGCUUGGCCCCGGAGGAUGGCUGGUUAGCCAGAGACGGGUAAGAUUCCUCAGGGAAGGAACAACCUAAGACAGGCACAGUCGCAGAGGGGCCAUCAGGAGAGAACUUGGGGGCCAACAGAGGUGGGGCGCAGACCCUCACCCCCCCAACUUUGCAGGGGCCUGAACCCUCACCCCUUCUGAGGGAGGUCUCCUGCCCCCAUGGCUGCUUCGCUUCCCACGCCCAGCUGAGAUCGGGACCCAGGUACCAGACUGAGACCUGGCCAACAGCAUGUGCCCUCCGGCUGCAGCAAGCACCUGUUUCCCGUCUGUACCUUGGACCACGGGGCAAGGGGCAGCCAAAGGAGAAGGCUGUGUCGGGUGUCUUCUUCCCUUUUUCUUCCUUGUUUCGGGGAUGCCUCCUUGCCGUCUGCAGCUCUUUCGCCUUUGCUUUGCUUUCUCUGUCUUCUUACUUUCUGCUCCUCUCCGUCUCCCCAGCUCGCCCUUGCUCUGGCCCCGUCCUGCCUUCUCUCUCUUCUCUUCUUUUCCAUCCCUGUCUUCUUCCUUCACCUCCCCUCCUCCUGCCCCCGCCUUGCUCAUCUCCCUGCCCCAACAUCCUGUGCCAUCCCUGUGGUGUGUUCGGGUCUUGGCCACGGCCAGACCGGGCAGGACUGAUGGAUACCUGUUGAGGCAGCGGAGCCCCUGGGCUCCCACCCCAUUCCCUCCUCCCGGGGCUGCACAGCGCCAUUCGAGAACGAUUUCCCAAGUUAUUACGCCUGGU